AAUAUAUGUCGAAAGCAGGUGAUUAAUCUGUUUACCAUAUUCUUGUACCCUUUUUUAGAUUGCAUUUCAUAAACUAGUUCUUUGUUUUCCACAGUACGUGUGGACAUGCUUACACUGCAUGCAUUGGGGUGGAACCACACAAAAAGGGCCUCUCUACACCAAGCACUUUCCACUAGAUAUGUAAGUCUGGUAAGUCUGUAUUUGUGGUUUGGUUGUGUCAUGUAUUGACACAUUUGUUGUUCACUUGGCUUGUUAAUCCUUAAGGGCAUUAACCUGAUUAUUAUAUAACACUAUUUAUCAGACAUGUCAAAGUUUCCUGGACGAGACUGCAAGGCUAGCUGAGCUAAAAACAGAGCUGCAUUGCUCGGAUGAUGAAAUGACAUCACAGUGGAUCUCUGAGGUGAUGGAAUGGGCAGCUGGAGAGAGACACCAAAUGCACCUCAUACCACUGAAGGCACCACACAGAGCGAACUUCAGCAGUCCAUCAUGGGGCUCUACCUUAGAGUCAGGCAAUGGAAACAAACCCCCUACCGUCAGGAUGUCUUUUCAGACAGCAGCAAGUUUCGCCACCGCCCUCAGAGGAAGCUGGGAGAAGACAAAAAACUGCUUCUUCAGGAGAUGCAGAGGUACAAUGGACUAGUACCAGACUCUGCAGCAAUUGAUGAGGCUGCUUUGGAGAACACAUUUUAUAUAAGCCCUGAUGAAGGCCUGUGGCCGCAAUGCGUUGACUUGUUUUAAUUUGUAUGGCCAUGCUGCAAUAAAGACUUUUUAAAUCGCUCUCCUACUCUGAGUGCCUCAGUUCCUGCUAUCACUCAGUA
This is a long non-coding RNA of Acanthopagrus latus (yellowfin seabream), 818 nucleotides long. RefSeq lists it as uncharacterized. The record is from RefSeq and is a predicted model, not a curated record. Lineage: Eukaryota; Metazoa; Chordata; Actinopteri; Spariformes; Sparidae. The transcript has 3 exons.